AUGAAGCGGAGGCAUAUGGAUGCCAUGGCAAUUGUCCAUACCUACGGGAAGGCUGACAUCUUGACCAUGACCUGCAACCCUAACUGGGAAGAGAUAACGAAUGAGUUAUUUCCUGGUCAGACAGCGCAAGAUCGACCUAAUCUUGUGGCUCGUGUGUUCCAUGGCAAGCUAGAGGCUAUGAAAGAGUUGUUCUUCAAGAAGAAUAUCCUGGGUGUUGUUGUCGCACAUGUAUAUGUAGUCGAGUUCCAGAAGAGGGGCCUCCCCCACGCACACUUUUUGUUGAUCAUGGAUUCUACCUAUAAGCUUGUCGUUCCGGAGCAGUACGACCGACUCAUUUCUGCCGAGCUCCCAGACAAGCAGAAGUAUCCUGAACUCCAUGCCUUGGUGGUGAAACAUAUGAUGCACGGACCAUGCGGUGCUCUCAACCCCAAAAAUGUGUGCAUGCAACAGAACGAGUGCAAGUGCAGAUACCCGCGGCCGUUCAAUGAAAACACGGCACAGGGCAAGGACUCAUACCCAGUUUAUCGUCGUCGAGAUAAUGGUCGGCAGGCUAAGGUCCGGGGUAAAAUGUUGGACAACAGAUGGGUUGUGUCGUAUAACCAUUACCUUCUGCAGAUGUUCAAUUGCCACAUCAACGUUGAGGUUUGCUCAAGCAUAAAGGCCGUCAAAUACCUUUACAAGUACAUAUACAAGGGCCAUGAUAGGGCUUCUUUCAGCAUCGACCAGCCCGACGCCGAGGGUAACAUUGAUGAGAUCAAAAGAUACGUAGACGCGAGGUGGGUUACUCCUCCAGAGGCGAUGUGGAGGAUAUUUGGCUUCCCCUUGUGUGCCAAUGACCCGCCUGUACUACAGUUGCCCCUUCAUCUCCCGAAUAUGCAUAGGGUGGCAUUCCAUGAGCAAGCUCACUUAACCGACGUAGUCGCCUCUGAGAAUGCUUCCAAAUCCAUGUUGACAGAGUAUUUCAAAGCUAACCAAAACCACCCGUGGGCUAGGAAUAUAUUGUACAAGGAUUUUCCUGGAAGGUUCACAUGGCAGAAGGGUAAGAAGUAUUGGAAAGAGCGGGUGGAGCGUUAUCAGAUAGGUCGAAUUGUGUCUGCCAAUCCUGUCGAGGGGGAGCGAUACUAUCUGCGUGUGCUGCUAAACCAUGUUGCUGGCAAGACAUCCUAUGAGGACCUGCUCACCGUGGAUGGUAGGCUAUGCGGGAGCUUUAGAGAGGUUGCCGAAAGGUUGGGACUCAUCGAGGCAGAUAACAUGCUCGACGACUGUCUUACUGAGGCAGAGCAGUGGGCGAUGCCAUGUUCGCUCAGGAGGCUCUUCGCAACAAUUUUUGUGCACUGUGAGCCAGGCGACGUGCGUGGUUUAUGGGAUAGGCACUUCAAGCCUAUGUCUGAUGACUAUCGGCGAUCACACACGUGCCCGAUUGAGGUGGAACAAAUGGUGUUGCUUGACAUUAGGGGUAUGUUGCAGUCCAUGGGCAAAGACAUAGCUGAUUUCGCUCUUCUAUGCAUUGACGAUGCGUUCGACCCAACCGAGGGCGAGGCCAGAGAAGUGAUCGAGGAAUCUAACGUCGAUUUUGACAUCAACGACACUAAAUUGGCUUCGACGCUAAACCCUGAGCAGAGGGUUGCAUACGACGAGAUACUAGCUUCUGUUGAACGCGGUGAUGGGGGUGUGUUCUUUGUUGAUGGCCCGGGAGGUACAGGGAAAACCUUCCUAUACACGGCGCUGCUCGCCAAGGUUCGAAGCGAGGGAAACAUUGCUAUCGCUACUGCGACGUCAUGCGUCGCCGCUUCUAUCAUGCUUGGAGGCAGGACUGCCCACUCGAGGUUCAAGAUCCCAUUGAGCUGCGACGAUGGCGCCUCAUGCACCUUCAUGAAGCAGAGUGGUACCGCCAAGCUACUGAGGAUGGCCUCAUUGAUACUAUGGGACGAGGCCACCAUGACUAAGCGACAGGCGGUCGAGGCACUGGACAACAGCAUGCGCGACAUCAUGGGAAGACGGGACCGACCCUUUGGGGGAAAAACUGUUAUGUUUGGCGGGGACUUCAGGCAGGUGCUUCCGGUCGUCAGGAGGGGGUCCCGGGGUCAGAUAAUCGAUGCAACCCUCCGAAGUUCACACCUCUAG
Molecule: ribosomal RNA, 2124 nt
Filed under: Triticum aestivum (bread wheat)
Lineage: Eukaryota; Viridiplantae; Streptophyta; Magnoliopsida; Poales; Poaceae
Description: partial small subunit ribosomal RNA
Source: RNAcentral